This is a non-coding RNA of Anas platyrhynchos (mallard), 9252 nucleotides long. Lineage: Eukaryota; Metazoa; Chordata; Aves; Anseriformes; Anatidae. The record is from RefSeq and is a predicted model, not a curated record.
ACAGGUCGGACAGGCAGCGAUUGCUGCACAUCAGGCUCAUAUCGACAGAGAGCUUACAUCACUGACAUGAGUCAAUGCGUACUGUUGCUAACCAACUGUGGGUUUUGGGGAUCACAGAGCAGAGUCAUGAACUUUGGAGACAGCAGAAGGCGAGCUCAGGAAGGAGCAAUUGGGUGACCAGUGGGACAGAGAGAGGUAGCAGGGAAAUUUUCUGUCUGAAACAGACAGAACAUGGGUCUUCUACAGUGAGUAGAGAUAAUCAGAGCUUGUGACCAAGGGGAAUAAUUUCUUCUGAGAAUGGAGAGAGUUGACAACUGAGACAAAGGUGGGCACGUGAAUGAUGCUAGCUGUGUAGGGAAUCUCUCUGGAAUGUCUCAAGGUGGCUAUAGUCAGAAAUAAGCCUAAAUCUUUGACUUUUACAGUUGCCAUGCAGACAGCUGUGACUCAGCCCUUGCAUUUGAGGCAGUUAAUAGCAGGUGGGCUGCUCUGAGGGACCAGUCUGCAGCCUCCAGGUAUAGGCUCAAGUGAGCAUGAACUGAUUGUUGAAGGUGUAAUUGAAAAAGCUACAGUUUGGGCAGACCUAUGCUGUGCUGUGAGGUGAGUAUUGCUUCCAUAUUUUUUUCCCCACAGUUACAGUCACUUAGCACUGAGACUUCAGGGACUGAGCAGGGAAAUAACUCUAGGAGAGCCCUGCAUUUUAGCUUGGGUCUGAAUGGCAGAAUGCCUGCCUGAACCACAGAAGAAUUAGUAGAAAUGCAGAAAGCUCUUUCAGGAGCUCAUAGCUAAUUAAAUAGCACUUGAAGAAAACACAAAGCUGUAACAGUGUCCCUGGAGAAUUUGACCAGCGCUUAGCCAAACUUGAUGGGAAGCUGGAGAGGCCUUGGAGCAGCUCAUAGGACGAAAUGAUGCUUGUGUGGAAGGUUGGCUAGUGUUCCAGUAACUGCCUUCUGUCCUCAGCUUAAGUAAAUGUUGAAUGGCUGUGGCAGAUUGCUUCCUUCUGGUGGAGGCAAGGGGAGACAGGUACAGUUUUUUUUCUUUUUUGAACAAUGCAGGUAGUUGGUUUAGAUUUAGUUAAGCUAGGAGUUAUGAUUCUGUUCCAGGAGAGGCCUUCCCUGUCCUUAACGCCUUCUGCAGUGAAUGCCACAGUUCCAGGGCCACCACAGCUUGUGUUUUACCUCACUGGCUCUGAGAGAAUAAUAUUAUUAAAAUAAAUAAUAUCAUCUGGAAAUAAAUUAAGCUCUAAAUCUAUGUAAUGCUAAAAAAAAGACUCUGUCCAGGCUAUUCUUUUUUCUCGCUCUCUCUGCCUCUCUCUCUUCUUUUUUUUUUUUUUUUUUCCUAUCAAAGCCUUGAUUGAACCCAUUCAAGGAUUCUCUGAUUUGGGUGAUGUGGGCACACUGAUUUGGACCAAAAUUUGUAAUCGUGGUGAAGUGUUUGCAGUUCAGUGUGUCUGCCUGGAGAAACCAGCCGGGCUUGUACAAUGUUACUGUGGUGAAAUGGGGAAGGUGUCAGAGUGGGAGAUUUGCGAUCGGAGACGCAAGAGGCCUGAGAGGAUGUAGGUACUGAGAGAUGUGUAUAAAGGCUGGUCUGAUGAGCCAGAGGAAAACAGAGAUGUAGGAGGGGGUGGGAUGGAGGAUCAGGGUGUUGGCCAGCAAAACAGGGCAUGGGAGGGAAUCCAGUGAGUUAACAGGGAUUAGCAACAGUCUAACUUAACCACCUGCAGUUAUUAUUCCUUCUGAUACGUACAGCUUUAAUCCCUCUGUUAAGAAAGAAGUAGAUAACUGUACCAAACUUGUUUAUCCUCUAGGCUUCAAUUGAGGCUGACUGCCAAGGUUGUCCUAACCAUGUUUAGAGCCUUCUUCUCUGUGCUUUAUCUGUCUUUCCUCAUGUUUCUUAUCCUCAAGACUCUGUAAAAAAUAGUAUUGAGAAAAUGGUAUUGAGAAUAGCUCAGAAAGUUCCUUUGGGCAGUGACUUGGGAAGUGUUUUGGAACGGAGACUGACGAUCCUCCAUAACGGAGCCGGGCAGUUUGUCACAGCUACCUUUAGGCCGGCAGUAGCAUCCACCCACUUUCACUACGUUUCACCCAACCCUUGGCAACGCCUGCUUCUUCUGGAGACUUAGGUCUGAAUCUUUCUUAUGCCAACCCAGUGGGAACAUGUGGUGGUGUGUCUUCUCUCAGGUCACUUACUGGCAUUGUAGGGCCAACAAAGGCUGCAGCUCCACGAGCCCUUGGAUUCACCACUGAGAGAAGUUGCUCUGGUUUAAAACUAUCCUAGCAAAAAUGGCGAGCUCUGGGGUUUAACAGAGCAGGAGAAGCAGCUUUGGGAAUGAAUGGCUGAGAUGGAAUCUACAACUUUAUCAUCAUUCUUGGCUUUUGUUGGUUUUGUUAAAGGAAAUAUAGCCUGAGAGAGUUUGUGGCCAAGAUACAGAAGCAGUGGCAGAAUGGAGGUGAUUUAAGUGCACAGAUACUUGGGAAAUAGUGGUUGGAAGCAGGGUAAUUUCAGCAGCUUCUGGUCUCAUAUGUGGUUCCUGUGAUACGUUGUUAACCACUUGUACUGCUUCAGCUUUUGUGUUCCUCCUCUGUGGACUUUCAUUGUCACUCGUGCCUGUUGCUGCUCAGUUUGGUGAGUGGUGAAGAGCUGUUUUAGAAACUUUGCUUAGGUCUCAGCUUCAUUUCCUUGCCGACAGUGCUUCCUGCAUCUAAACAGGCCUCAGGCUCCCGUCAGGUUCAGGGCUCUCUGGAGAGUUCAUUCGUGCCUCCCCCAGCUCCAACACAUCAGGGAUUUGACCCUGUGUACUCGGCGUGUUGGGGGUUCUUAUUUCAUGACGUGCUCACUUGUCUCCCCAGCUCUAGCAGUGAAGAAGGUCCUGUUUGUGUAGGCAACGACCACGUUCUGUGUCUUUUCUGCCAUCCAUGUAGGGUGAUACUGAACCCGAGCCUUUUUUUUUUUUUUCCUUUUUAUUUUUUUUUGAUGCAUUGCUUUCUUAGUUCCUAAAAUGAGGAUAGCGAGACUAUUACCCUCCCCAUCCAGGAUGCAGUGAAAGGCUGCAUCUGUGCAGUAUAAACAAAGCCCUAAUUUACAUGUAAAUGUGUGUGAUAUCGCUGUAGCAGCAGAGUUGUACCAGUGAAGCCCUCCUUAUGUGCAGGCAGCUUAUGUCAGCAGAAUAGGGCUCUUUUUUCUCUUUUUUUUGAACAGAACUUUUCCGAGCACUGUCAGCUAUAUCAGCAAAAAACAUUCACUACCAAUAUAACUGCAUUCUCAUUAGAGCACAGAUCCCCAUGACAUUUUAAUUCCUAACUUCUUUUUAGGCACUUCUGAGGGCCUGUACCUAAGACUUUCUGCUAUGUGGAAGAGACCCCAAACACUCCUCCCAUUAGUACCCUGGCAAACGAGCUCAGAGCAGAUGUGGCCUCGUUUUAUCAAUAGCUGCAGAGCGCUUUGAGAGGUGGUUCAAGGCACUGAGCCUGGCAGAAGCUAGACCAGACUGUUAGGGCUGACUUCAAGGAGGACCACAGCGGUUUCUGCUUCUUCUGACAAUGUUGUUGGUACUGCAGGAGUCUGGCCAGGUUCCCCCUUAUUCACCUUUUCCUGUGUGAAGAGCAGAAUGAAAAGCCCCUGUAGGCCACUGGCAGUAUGGAUGGGGGAGCAGAAGAGACUGUUCCAUACGGUGUCACUUCGGUGGCCGUGUCUGGUCCCCGUGUGAAGAGCCCCUGACUGCUGCAGCCCCGUGGUUGCAGCACAUAUGGGAACCACAGGAUGCUUGUCCUGUGCUGUGGCCUUCUCUGGUGUAGCUGCUACCCUGGGCUGCCUGAGCCCUGCCCCUCUGCUUCAACUCUUUGUCCCUUUAGCCCCCGGUUUCUGACUGUGAAGAUACCGGCAUUAAUAGUUCUGGUUAGCUAGGAACACCCUGAGCACUUGGUACAAGUCUGUAGGAAGAGGCAUGCAGCGUUACUGACCUUUGGACAUGCGUUGGCUGAAGGGAAAUAAGCCGCAGCUCCUCUCGCAGGCCGUUUGCACUGACGAGCUGCCACAGGGGCUGUAGAGCAGCAGGGUGGGUAGCCGAGGCUGACACGAACAGUGGGGUGGCCAGAUAAGUCAGUUGGUCUAGCAGAGAGCUUCAUCAGCCAAGGAAUUAGUGGCAGCAAGCAUCAUGUGUUUAUUGUCCAGGAGCUGGGACAAGGUAUUUUGUCCACUGAGCAGAGAAAGAGGGUAUGUAAGGCCAUAGUGUUCCCUAGAAAAGAUGUCUUUGUUGUUAGUUUUAAUUUCAUCCCUUUCUGAUGCUGUUACAAAGGUGGCACGUGAGAAGAGAGCAUCCUACAGAGGAGAGAGAGAUGGCAAGGACAGCACACUGGCACGUGAGCAGUGACCAAACCUCAGCAUGGAGAAAGAAUGAAGGAAGGAGCAGUUUGUCCCCGUUCAGUGUCCUUGUGAGCAGUGAGGCGAGCCAGUUGGCACUUGUUAGGCACGUGGUGUGCAUGUACAGAGCUGUCUGGUGGAGGACCCUGCACCCACACUGCAAGAGAAGGUGCUCCAGGGAGCUCCACCGUGAACCACUUCAACUCCAGCACCACCAGGAGCUUGGAGCUCACCAGCGACAGAAAAUAAUUUUCAAUAAUAUUGAACGCUGAGUACCUGUGCACUUACUCUCCAGAUGGGACCCAUGGUUUUGUGGUAGGCUCCAAGUCACCUGAAAAAAACAGCAUUUCCAGUGAGAUUUCCAGGGAAAGGAGAUGUUAAAGAUCUGUGGAGACAGGGAUUGCAGUCUUCAGCAUCGAGCAGCCUCUGCUGUUCCCUCAAAAGUAUGCAAUGAUCAUUGCAGCUUAAAGGAAGGGUCCUAGGAGAAGGGAAGAACAGACAGUGGAGCAGACAAUGGAAGCGAUAAGACUGUGCAAGACUUGCCUUGCUGCAUAAAUCUGUGAUGAGGAGGGAGAUGUCUGCAGACUGACUUUCAGCCCAGGUAAGUGCUGAAGCAUCAAAGCACCGUGCCAAACCCUGAUGUCUCCUGGAGCACACAGACAGCACUGGGCCAGGAAGGGCUUAGAGUUGCUAUCUCUACACUUCUGUUUGACAUCCAGCCAUCGAAAGCAGGAGCAGUCCCUGAAACUGUUGCAGGAGAGGUGGGCUUGGGCUGUUCUCAAGUGCAGACAGGGUGUCAGGAGUGAAGAGUUCUCACUGCCAGCUACUUGUGUGUUACCGAUGGUUGGGAUUCAGGCAGGGAACAGGGGACGUGGUAGCACCUUGGCUACAAAGGUGGAGGAAGUAGUGGGAAAACGGCAGAUCUUGUUGUCCUUGUGGCACUGCUUGGAGGGAAGAGUGAGGGGGAGAAACGGGUUGUGAGCAAGGACAUAGUAGCUCCUACAAACUGCCAUCCCAGUGUGAGGAGCAAAAGAGAUGCCAGUUUUUCACCAGCAUUGGGAUGAGGACUUGACAGAGCAAUCAGUAUCAGUGCAAAGAAUAGAAGAUGGGUCUCCUACAUGGUGGAACAAAACCCUUGCUUUGAAAGGACCUGCAACAUGUUUUCAGCUCUCUGGACUGAAAAAAUGGGUAAUUUGCAUGCAGCAUUCAGCUGGAUUUAGAAUGGCUACAGCCUGUUUGCAGUAGUGGGGCUAAAAUCUUCCUGACUACGUGUCACAGACAUCUGAUAAUCAGCGCUUUUGCAAAGUCAGGUUUCAUCACAGCAAUGAGAACAAUCAGACAAACCAGUUAUUACAAGAUUAGCGCUAUUUGCUCGGAGUCUUUCCAGGUGCUGGCUGUAUUUGACAAAGGUCAGAUUAACAUCUGACGUUAGUCUUAGAGGAAUGCUGCCUGAAAAGCCACAGGGAAAAAGUGUGUAUGAAAGUGUGCUGACUGCUGUGGCAAAAAGCUGUACCUAGGCUUGAUCUCAGUCACUGCAACAGGCAAGACAAUGCCAGAUCAGCUUUCUCUGUUCUACAAAAGAUGGGACAUGCUAUGCAGCAAGUGGGAGUGAGAGGGGUGUUAGAUCUUGGUGCUUGUGCCAUGCUCAGCAAUGAUUGCUGCCUUUUCUCUGCCUACUUGGCUGUGAGCAAUGGCGUUUUUUUUUCUUCUUUGGAAGAAACUAUUUACAAAUAAUUUGUUGUUACCGCCACUGCUAAGGGUUUCUGGACACUCAGGUUUACUUAUGUUCAGCUCCAUCCCGUGAUUCCUAGCUCCACAAUCUCAAGAUGUGUCUAAGGAGCCAUCCCCUUACUAACCAGCAAGUCUUUCCAAAAUUUAAAUUCUGUUUGAAAACAAAGCUAACUUCAAAGUUUCAGUAACAACCAACACCUUUGCCCGGACUGAUUGUUUUUAAGCAAGAACAGUGCUUUGAAAGAUGAGUCUUCUUUCCAGUCUGUGUGUUCUGCUCUGGCCUCCUCCAUCAUUUCAAAAUCAAUAGCUGUCUCUGAUUGCCCCCCUCCCCUCCAGACCAUGCUCUUUGCUACCUCAUUUUGGUUUUAAUUUGCCACAGCAAAAUUGCAGUAAUUUUUCCCCCAUCCUAAUUAAGAAACCUAUCCAUUAAGGAGAAAGAAAACAAAAACAAAACCUUCUUAUCUAAGCCCUUUGUGCAGAACAGAGACAGAAAUGAUUGGUGAGAAGAUCAGCUCUAGAAAGCCAAGCCCUUUAUUGAUUCUUCUGGCCUUCCUCAGUAAAUACAGAAUGAGUUUUAAAUUCACCUAGAAGGAAGCUAAAAGCUUGUGUAAAGCGCUGACUUCCCAACAUCCAAGAAGAGUGAAGCAGUAUCUCUUCUGGUCUGUCUCACUUUUUACUCUCUCUAUAGUUUCACAAAAAUAUUUGGAGAAUGUUUCAUUGUAUCGUGCCUAACUUCUGUUUCUCUUUUUUCACAUUUUGCUGUAAAUUGGCCUUGCUCUUAACUUUACAGAGUGUAGUGGUUCUGACCUAUCUUUUGGAAGAACGUUGAGAUGUGUACAUGAAAGAGACUGGAAAAAUCUCUAUAGUGAGCAAACGUCCUCCUUAGCUCACCCACCAGCACUGAGUACUUGAGUUAAGGAAAGAAACACCGGGUGAUGGUGAAGGAGGGCUCAGCCUUUAGGCCAUUCAGUUCAUUGCACACUGCUGCUAAGCUCUGUUCUUACAGGCACAAAAAGGAAGAGAGAAAUUCCCAGGUAUUAGAGUGGAGACAGUCCACUACACAGUGGGAUUUUGUGGGAGAGGAUGCUCAGCAGCAACAUAGGAAAAGGACAGAGAUGGAAUAGAAAUAAGAUGGGAAAUGCCUACCCAGGGUUAGAACUUUGACUAUCCAGAGGAGUAAUCAUAGCCUUUAUGGUGAAGAGAGGGAAAGAUACCGCACUUCUACAGACUUCAUCCCCUCUCCCCUUCUCCCUGGAGCAGUGGAAGUGGGUGAUAUUUUCCAUGAUGCCUAUCUGAGCACAAGUGCUGGCUGUGAAUGAAAAUCAGAUCUGACUCCCUGCCACACUCCAGACACUGUCCUGGGGAGAUGGACGUGUAACUGAUGAACCUGUUCAGUUUCUGUGCACAGUCAGGUCUUCCUAAGAUGGGUCAUACACUUAAAAUAGCAGGAACAGGAUGCGGGUGAUGCUAGCUGGACUAAAAUUAUACUGAUAUUCCAGAAUGUUCCUCUCCCUGCUGCGACCCCAAAAGCAAAACACCCUAGGAUCCAGUUGAUUUAAAUGGAUCUGGUGGAUCUUGUGGGUUUGAGUUACGAUUCAGUGGUCCACUUAUUGUUGGCAUCCUGUUUGUAGCAGAAUCCAGCACUAGCAGAGAGACUGGAUACCACCUGAAGCUGGAAGGGGUGCAGAGAAGGGUUAUUGAGGCAUGUCAGGGGCCAAGGGCAGGCAAUCUAUGAGCAAAUAUUGUGGAUCUUGGGGUCCCUUUGUGUGGCGUAGAGAUUGAGGAGGAGAGGGGGAUCAAAUUGUAGACUGUAAUUAUUUGAAGGGGAGUUAUAAAGGCAGUGGAACCAAACUCUUGGUAGUAAUAGAUAGUAAUAAAAAGGCAGAGGGAAUGUUUCUAAGUUGUGAUUGGAAACUCAGGCAGGACAUAAAAAUUCUUCAUCAUGUGAGCUGGGCAACACUGGUGCAGGCUACUGAAAGAAUGGCAGGCUCUGCCAUCAGGGUUCUAAUAGCACAGGUAGCCUGUGGGCACCAGCACUAUUGCUAGCAGGAGGUCAGGCUGCACACCUGCAGAGGUGCCUCCAGCUGCUGCUCCUGGGGUCCCUUGGCUACAGGUACUGGAAGGUGACACAAAGGUACAGCCUGCAGGAGGUAAGCUCUGACUUACGUGUGGCACUGAGCUCACCUGGACUCCGUUAAAGUAAACAUGACCGUAUCAGUAGUCAGUGUUCAAUUCUUUGUAUUUGUUAAGCUAUUUGUGAUUAUCAUCUGCUAAAUAUAAAUAGCUGAAUUUUGUACCAUGCUAAACUUGGGUCAACAGCACCUUGUGCCUCUUGUACCAGAUCUGUAGCAUGCACCAGAUUGUUUUCAACUAAAUUUGGUUAUUAGGGUAUCCAGAGGCAUUGUCAAACACUUUCUGCUAAAACCUGUCUCUUUGCACAGAGAUAAUACAAGGAAGACUUUUUAUAUAGGGGUCUUCUGAGGCCUCCAGCAACUUAUUUUUCUGGACCAUUAAUUUCUGCAGUCCACAUACACCUGUUAACCUUUUGAGGUAACGUCUUCAGAUGUGGGCAAUUUUUACACUUUCAUCAGAACUGAAGUAUGCUUAAAGCACCUUGAGUUAUAGCUCAAUUUUGCAUCUUAAUUAAGUGGGAACAUGUCUUGUCACCAAUGAGUUUGUUCUUUGUGUUUUAUCUAUCCUGCUUGAGCUGUGAUGCAGAGAACGGGAAUGGGUUAUGUGAGUAGAUGGAGACAAAUCCAAGCUCGUCUGAAUUUUGCAAGAUGCAAACCAGUUCCAACCUGGACCUGCAGGCACAGCAGUGACAACAAGAAGCAAAAAAAUGACAAGCUCUCAAAAAAACCUGGGAUCAGAAUCUUCCAGGCAGCAGGCACAGCUCUAGGGACUGCUUUACCAGUAAGUUACUGCCUGCUGGGCAAGCAGAGGGCAUGCAGUAAAUCUGUCUUGGGCACUACUGCGCAGCCCAGUUUGUAACACUGAAUUUCCCUAGCAGAGUACUCUCAGGAGGCCUGAAAUGCUAAGUUUGUACAGGCAGUUUCCUCUUCUGCUUCCAGCAUUCAUCCCCCUGUGCAUUGAUUCUGAUGUAACUGUGGAUUUUAUUUUUCCUUUACUCUAGAGUACUAAAAAAAUAAAUUAGCAACUGCUUAA